AGUGAACGCUGGCGGUAGGCCUAACACAUGCAAGUCGAACGGCAGCACAGUAAGAGCUUGCUCUUACGGGUGGCGAGUGGCGGACGGGUGAGGAAUACAUCGGAGUCUACUUUUUCGUGGGGGAUAACGUAGGGAAACUUACGCUAAUACCGCAUACGACCUACGGGUGAAAGCAGGGGAUCUUCGGACCUUGCGCGAUUGAAUGAGCCGAUGUCGGAUUAGCUAGUUGGCGGGGUAAAGGCCCACCAAGGCGACGAUCCGUAGCUGGUCUGAGAGGAUGAUCAGCCACACUGGAACUGAGACACGGUCCAGACUCCUACGGGAGGCAGCAGUAGGGAAUAUUGGACAAUGGGCGCAAGCCUGGUCCAGCCGUACCGCGUGGGUGAAGAAGGCCUUCGGGUUGUAAAGCCCUUUUGUUGGGAAAGAAAAACAGCAGGUUAAUACCCCGCUGUUCUGACGGUACCAAAAGAAUAAGCACCGGCUAACUUCGUG
This 492-nucleotide ribosomal RNA is filed under the name uncultured bacterium. RNAcentral's name for it is "partial 16S ribosomal RNA". It matches the Rfam family "Bacterial small subunit ribosomal RNA", at positions 29 to 507 of the family's 1533-position model. The record is from RNAcentral.